AAAAAGCAAGUGAAUUGUAAGAUCAAUUAUCACGUUAGUACAAAAGAGCCCGCUAAACCUCACUACUACAUAAUUUCAAAACCAUGAAAUAAAAACUUGAUUAAAAAAGAAACGAAAGGCUACAACAUUAGUGCCAUUUUUUGCUUUUUUAGAUAAUUACUCAAGUCGAGGUGUGGAACCAGUAGGUAUUAAAAAACAUUUUUCACGUCAAUCUGGCAAAUGAAAUUUAUUACCCGAUAAAUGUCUCGCGUAUGCGGUUUCAGCAUUUUGAUAUAUUCAGCUCAUAAAUCAUUUGUCAAUGUCGAAUGGCGUGAGCAGGGGGAAAGCCAUGCCCAUUAGGAGAGCUGAUCCAUCCAGCCCCCUCCGAUAACGAAACUAAUAGUGUAUUCCUUACCUGUGGUUGCCGUUGGUAGCGGGUGAAACUAGUGUAGUGUUGCGAUGUCACGUUUAAAACAACUGUAUUGCCUUGCCUUGAUACUCACACUGACCGCUGUCCAGCUGCGGCCGGUGGCCUCGGACAUUGAUGGCGGCGUUCUUGUUGGAUGUGGUUUGAUCAAUCUCUUCUUUUUCCGGAAGGGAAUCGACCGAGGGAAGUCGAACAACGAAAACAAAGGGGCUAUUGACCUUGCAACAGCUAUAUGUACCCAGGAAAAUAUUCCAACUCCACAGGACAUCCCGGAAUGUGUAAGGUGCCGUUUGAUUUCAGAUCCGACGCUAUGUGUGGCACCGUGUAAUUUGGUUUUCCAAACUCUCUGUACUGCAUGAUGUGGCCAUAGUCAUGGUAUCAGCGUACCUUUGAUGAUGACCGUACUGGGAUUGGAAUUUUACAGUGCUGGAAUUGAAAAUACAUUGUGUAGUUAAUCCAUCUUUAUUUUGUAAAUAUUGUUAAACUUUUCAAUAUUGCUGAAAAAAUGAAAUGUUGAGACAAUAAUAAAACGAUAGAAGAAAUAUAUAAAUAAAUAUAAAAUCGAUAGGUUUAUAGUUCGCUAAACUGAAAUGAUACAUUAAUACUACUAUAUACAGCUCUUGAAGAGCAUGUAAUAAAACAAUGUACAUCACAGAUAUUGAAAAACUGUAGCUUAUAUACCACCUUCAGGUAACAAUUAAAUUAUCGUAAUAAAAAAUGAAU
Mizuhopecten yessoensis (Yesso scallop) is the source of this 1129-nucleotide long non-coding RNA. RefSeq lists it as uncharacterized. The record is from RefSeq and is a predicted model, not a curated record. NCBI's taxonomy places the organism in Eukaryota, Metazoa, Mollusca, Bivalvia, Pectinida, Pectinidae. The transcript has 3 exons.